Molecule: transfer RNA, 70 nt
Filed under: bovine gut metagenome
Rfam family: tRNA
About the family: Transfer RNA (tRNA) molecules are approximately 80 nucleotides in length. Their secondary structure includes four short double-helical elements and three loops (D, anti-codon, and T loops).
Source: RNAcentral
AGAAGUAGCACAGUUUGGUAGUGCACUUGGCUUGGGACCAAGGGGUCGCAGGUUCGAAUCCUGUCUUCUC